RNAcentral lists this RNase P RNA (303 nucleotides) under Flagellimonas hymeniacidonis. Its description in RNAcentral is "Flagellimonas sp. 176CP5-101 RNase P RNA component class A". It matches the Rfam family "Bacterial RNase P class A". From Rfam's summary of the family: Ribonuclease P (RNase P) is a ubiquitous endoribonuclease, found in archaea, bacteria and eukarya as well as chloroplasts and mitochondria. Its best characterised activity is the generation of mature 5'-ends of tRNAs by cleaving the 5'-leader elements of precursor-tRNAs. The record is from RNAcentral. Lineage: Bacteria; Pseudomonadati; Bacteroidota; Flavobacteriia; Flavobacteriales; Flavobacteriaceae.
CCAGCAGGCCAUCUUAUCGCUGUAAUUCUGAGCAAUUGGGAUUAAAGAGGAAAGUCCGGACACCAUAGUGCAGCAUAGCGGGUAACACCCGUCCGUUGAAAGACGAGGACCAGUGCAACAGAAAGCAAGUACAGUUAGGCUGUAGUGAAAUCAGGUAAACUCUAUGCGGUGAAACGUCAUGUAAACCAAUGUUUGAGGGCUGCACGCCCAAAUUGGAGGGUAGGCGGUUGGAGCCUUAGAGCAAUUUAAGGCCUAGAUAAAUGAUAAGGCUAGACAGAAUCCGGCUUAUGGCCUGCUUUUUUU